Molecule: long non-coding RNA, 224 nt
Filed under: Elaeis guineensis (African oil palm)
Lineage: Eukaryota; Viridiplantae; Streptophyta; Magnoliopsida; Arecales; Arecaceae
Description: long non-coding RNA (EGUI_LNC065430)
Source: RNAcentral
UUCUUCUUCUUCCCCCUCUUUUCUUCUUUUCUCUUCUUCGGUGUGAUUUGUGGCCCUUGUUCUCUUCCUAAUUGUUGGGUAUAAAAUAUCCUCAGCCGAAGUUCUUAACAGGAUUGACCCUCCCAAGACACCUCCGACUUUCGACCGCAGACGGUAUCUCUCCGGACUUUCCCAACAGCUGAAUUCCCACAGUGCUGAUUGAAUUCCCCCGACGGAUGAACUCC